UUUCUUGCCAGCGGCUGCCUUGUUGUAUGAAGAUUUUAGCUUUCUGACAGUUACCAUGCCCCUAAGCACUUUUUCUUCCCAACGACAGCCACAACCUGAGUACUUUUUGUUUUCCAUCUACCGUGGUGACCUUUGACCAUUUUUAACAUGUUUGACUCAAUACAUAUCUAAUCAGAAAGUGCUAUAAUUCCUGAUUGUUAUUUAAUGGUUUAUUUUUUUAUUUCUUUAUUAUGAAUAAGAAUAUUCAUGUUUUUUUAUUUCUUUAUUAUGAAUAAGAAUAUUCAUGUUUUUUUAUUUCUUUAUUAUGAAUAAGAAUAUUCAUGUUAUUAUACAACAAGAGUCGUACCAUCUAUCGUCAUUUGUUUUGUCACUAAUUCUUUCAUCAAUGUGAAUGACUUUUUUCUUUUUUCUUUUUUUGAUUUUUUGUCCUUCUUCGUAUAUGGUUGAUAAUUGAUGUGGAUGAGAGUAUACUGUUUUUUUAUCGUUGAAUGUUGAAUGGGUGAAAAUUCAUGAGAAUAUUAUAGUUGUGUUCAGGUUAAACAAUAAACGAUGCCAGAAAUAAAGACCUAAUAUUUUC
This 577-nucleotide long non-coding RNA is filed under the name Phaseolus vulgaris (common bean). RNAcentral describes it as "long non-coding RNA (PVUL_LNC003562)". Lineage: Eukaryota; Viridiplantae; Streptophyta; Magnoliopsida; Fabales; Fabaceae. The record is from RNAcentral.